UACGUAGGGACCGAGCGUUGUCCGGAAUCAUUGGGCGUAAAGAGCGUGUAGGCGGCUCGGUAAGUCCGCUGUGAAAGUCCAGGGCUCAACCCUGGAAUGCCAGUGGAAACUGUCGAGCUAGAGUCCGGAAGAGGCGAGUGGAAUUCCUGGUGUAGCGGUGAAAUGCGCAGAUAUCAGGAGGAACACCAAUGGCGAAGGCAGCUCGCUGGGACGGUACUGACGCUGAGACGCGAAAGCGUGGGGAGCAAACAGG
Molecule: ribosomal RNA, 253 nt
Filed under: uncultured bacterium
Lineage: Bacteria
Description: partial 16S ribosomal RNA
Rfam family: Bacterial small subunit ribosomal RNA
Source: RNAcentral